This is a long non-coding RNA of Limulus polyphemus (Atlantic horseshoe crab), 841 nucleotides long. RefSeq lists it as uncharacterized. The transcript has 3 exons. The record is from RefSeq and is a predicted model, not a curated record. NCBI's taxonomy places the organism in Eukaryota, Metazoa, Arthropoda, Merostomata, Xiphosura, Limulidae.
AACCUUGCUCCCAGCUGUGUAAACGAGAAAAAUCAACCCUUGAGGAUUACGUCAUCCGAUAAUUUACCUCGACGAGACAGCGCCCUCUGAUUUUAUGAUGUCAUUAUCGUUAUCAGAUAGUAAUUCUAAAUUUUAUUAAAUAUUGGCAUGUCAUUAUACAUAGCUGAGAGGAAACUUGCUAAUGAAGCAUUAACUGAUGAAAAACAACUAACAAUUAAAAUAUAACAAUAGAGGCGCUCUGAUAUUCUACAGUUAAGAACAAUUCUCCAGCACCAUUUUCCGAGAGAAGGUUCAAGAACACUAAAGGAGAAAUUAUCCUUAAGAAUGUAUGUGACCAGUCACCACAUUUCAAAGCUAUAUACUUGUGGUGUAUAAUUAUACCAUGUGUUUUAGUCUUCUUGUGGUAUAAUCAUUUAUAUUCUGAAUUUAUUCUAUGCCCUGAAUAUGUGCAGGUUUCACAUAACACGUGAUUAAGAAAACAGUUUAAGUUGAUCUUGUUUCUAAUUGCUUUUGUUUCUUUGUUGUUCUCGAAUUGGGUAAUACCUGUUACCACCCGUUGAAAACAUACCUUAAUGCACUAUGUGUCUUUCAGCUGUUACAGAGGCAAUAACUAAAGAUUACGAACACGUUUAUGUGUAAUUAGAAUGACCAGUCACGUAGUAAUACAUGUCUCUCUCUAGGUAAAUAUGAAAUUUCUUCCUAUUAAAGAAACCUUGAAUUUGACAGUCUGGUAGAUGAUCUCAAGCUGACAACACCUAGUAGAAACGAUGGUCUGACAUAAGUAAAUCGCAGUUACACAUAAUUUUAGUUUCACGUAUUAAUAAAAACUGUUCAUUGUAUU